RNAcentral lists this ribosomal RNA (522 nucleotides) under uncultured bacterium. Its description in RNAcentral is "bacterial SSU rRNA". It matches the Rfam family "Bacterial small subunit ribosomal RNA", at positions 355 to 896 of the family's 1533-position model. The record is from RNAcentral.
UGGGGAAUAUUGGACAAUGGGGGCAACCCUGAUCCAGCAAUGCCGCGUGUGUGAUGAAGGCCCUAGGGUUGUAAAGCACUUUCACUGGUGAAGAUGAUGACGGUAACCAGAGAAGAAGCCCCGGCUAACUUCGUGCCAGCAGCCGCGGUAAUACGAAGGGGGCGAGCGUUGUUCGGAAUUACUGGGCGUAAAGGGCGCGUAGGCGGCUCUUUAAGUUAGGCGUGAAAGCCCCGGGCUCAACCUGGGAACUGCGCUUAAGACUGGAGAGCUAGAAAACGGAAGAGGGUAGUGGAAUUCCCAGUGUAGAGGUGAAAUUCGUAGAUAUUAGGAAGAACACCAGUGGCGAAAGCGGCUACCUGGUCCGGAUUUGACGCUGAGGCGCGAAAGCGUGGGGAGCAAACAGGAUUAGAUACCCUGGUAGUCCACGCCGUAAACGAUGUCUGCUAGAUGUCGGGGGGUUGCCCCUCGGUGUCGCCGCUAACGCAUUAAGCAGACCGCCUGGGAAGUACGGUCGCAAGAUUA